GUAUUCCGCUCCAUAGCGUAUAUUAAAGUUGCUGCAGUUAAAAAGCUCGUAGUUGAAUUUCGGAACCAAUAUGUUGGUUGUGCCUCGGUACGUACUGGCAUUGUUGGUUUCUCCCUUCUGACGAACUAUGAUGUCAUUAAUUUGGUGUCAUGGGGAAUCAGGACUGUUACUUUGAAAAAAUUAGAGUGUUUAAAGCAGGCUCACGCUUGAAUACAUUAGCAUGGAAUAAUGAAAUAGGACGUUUGAUUCUAUUUUGUUGGUUUCUAGGAUUGACGUAAUGAUUAAUAGGGAUAGUUGGGGGCAUUAGUAUUCAAUUGUCAGAGGUGAAAUUCUUGGAUUUAUUGAAGACUAACUACUGCGAAAGCAUUUGCCAAGGAUGUUUUCAUUAAUCAAGAACGAAAGUUAGGGGAUCGAAGACGAUCAGAUACCGUCGUAGUCUUAACCAUAAACUAUGCCGACUAGGGAUCGGAUGAUGUUAAUUUUUUAAUGACUCAUUCGGCACCUUACGGGAAAC
This 514-nucleotide ribosomal RNA is filed under the name uncultured Glomus. RNAcentral's name for it is "SSU rRNA". It matches the Rfam family "Eukaryotic small subunit ribosomal RNA", at positions 579 to 1098 of the family's 1831-position model. The record is from RNAcentral. Lineage: Eukaryota; Fungi; Glomeromycota; Glomeromycetes; Glomerales; Glomeraceae.